This is a non-coding RNA of Caenorhabditis elegans, 21 nucleotides long. The record is from Ensembl. NCBI's taxonomy places the organism in Eukaryota, Metazoa, Nematoda, Chromadorea, Rhabditida, Rhabditidae.
UUCACCAGAUCCCCAAAAUUA